UGGGGAAUAUUGCGCAAUGGGCGAAAGCCUGACGCAGCGACGCCGCGUGAGGGAUGAAGGUUCUCGGAUCGUAAACCUCUGUCAGGGGGGAAGAAACCCCCUCGUGUGAAUAAUGCGAGGGCUUGACGGUACCCCCAAAGGAAGCACCGGCUAACUCCGUGCCAGCAGCCGCGGUAAUACGGAGGGUGCAAGCGUUAAUCGGAAUCACUGGGCGUAAAGCGCACGUAGGCGGCUUGGUAAGUCAGGGGUGAAAUCCCACAGCCCAACUGUGGAACUGCCUUUGAUACUGCCAGGCUUGAGUACCGGAGAGGGUGGCGGAAUUCCAGGUGUAGGAGUGAAAUCCGUAGAUAUCUGGAGGAACACCGGUGGCGAAGGCGGCCACCUGGACGGUAACUGACGC
Molecule: ribosomal RNA, 400 nt
Filed under: uncultured bacterium
Lineage: Bacteria
Description: bacterial SSU rRNA
Rfam family: Bacterial small subunit ribosomal RNA
Source: RNAcentral